Molecule: transfer RNA, 57 nt
Filed under: Dipodomys ordii (Ord's kangaroo rat)
Lineage: Eukaryota; Metazoa; Chordata; Mammalia; Rodentia; Heteromyidae
Rfam family: tRNA
About the family: Transfer RNA (tRNA) molecules are approximately 80 nucleotides in length. Their secondary structure includes four short double-helical elements and three loops (D, anti-codon, and T loops). Further hydrogen bonds mediate the characteristic L-shaped molecular structure. tRNAs have two regions of fundamental functional importance: the anti-codon, which is responsible for specific mRNA codon recognition, and the 3' end, to which the tRNAs corresponding amino acid is attached (by aminoacyl-tRNA synthetases). tRNAs cope with the degeneracy of the genetic code in two manners: having more than one tRNA (with a specific anti-codon) for a particular amino acid; and 'wobble' base-pairing, i.e. permitting non-standard base-pairing at the 3rd anti-codon position.
Source: Rfam by way of RNAcentral
UGGCUCAGUGGUAGAGUGCUUGCCUCAUGUGCAUGAGGCCCUGGGUUCAAUUCUCAG